Molecule: long non-coding RNA, 3318 nt
Organism: Fukomys damarensis (Damara mole-rat)
Lineage: Eukaryota; Metazoa; Chordata; Mammalia; Rodentia; Bathyergidae
Exons: 5
Source: RefSeq, a predicted model, not a curated record
GUGCAGCUUUUCCUUCUCCUGGGCCUCUGCCAAGGGCAGGUGCAGGGUGGGGAAGUCAUUGUCCCUGCUCUGGGGGUGGGAGGAGCCGGGACGGACUGUUCAUCAGAGUCUGAGUAAGGGCGCCUGGGGAGCCCCUCGACCGGGAAAGCGUCUACCUCGAGCGGCUCCGCCCUGGCACAGUGCCCCCAGAGCAGGUCACUGGGCCUUCGGACCUCACAGCGUGGUGGGAGGCAGCCUGGGACGGCCUGGGGAGGGCAGUGAGAGGGGCUGUUGUCCUGAGGGACCCGAACCGCACCUCUGGUUGUCCAAGGGAAGAGUUAGGUUUAAGAAGGAGACCAAACCCAGGCCAGGAGGAUCUGGAAUAUUUUAAUUGGUGAGUCAUUUCUAAAGGGACUGCUGUUUGACCAGGACAUCCUGGAGCUUAAAGUUGUGUCCUGCAGACCAAGUUGAGAGACUUAAAAAAAAUAUCAAGAAUGGAAAAUACUGGAAAAUGAGCUGGAUAAACCGGGCGCACCCACUGGUGUUUCCCACCUGACGAGGCCAAGAGGAUCUGGAAUACAUUCCUUUGUCGAGCCUUUUCUGAAGGGACUUCCCUGUGGCUAGUCAUCCAGGACAUACCAUUUUGGCAAGGCCAGCCAGGAGAGUCAAGCUUGCAUCCCGGAGACCAAGGUCUGGAGGACAAUGCCAGCACCCUUUCCAAGUGACGGGCACCCAGGCUUGGCGAUGUAAGGCACAGAGCUUCUGAGACCCAAGGAGCCUCCCCGCCCAUCCUGAAUCUUCCUACUUUCAGGGCUCUGUGGCCCCCAGCAGGGACAGUGGCAUCAGGACCCGGGCGGAGUUCAGGCCCACCCACCACUACCUGUCAGAGGAAGCAGUCACAGAAGUGCUCAGGAGCACAGGGCAGGACUCUGGGGUCACCUGUCCCCCAGCUGUGAGAGAUCAGUCCUAGCCCAGCCCCUCCCCUGCCGUGGGUGGCACGCCUGUCCUUGCAUAGUCCCAGGGGCCUGGAGUUACCAGUGCUGUGAUUUCACACAGCUCAUCCUGCAGCGGGCCCAGCUUCCCGGCCAGCGCCUUCUUCUCCAGCCGCUCUGAGAUGCAGCGCGAUGGUGAUCUGAAUGUUUUCUUGUCUCUGCGGAGAAUGGGAAUCAAUGGCACCGAGACAGCCAGGCCCAAGUCGCCAACCUGGCUGACCCUGGGGCGGGCAGAGUGGAGAAUCAUCCCCUGUCCCCAGCAGAGGCUCCAGCAGGAUUCUGCCUCACGGGCACCUUCACAGUGGAGGCCUGCAGAGCGCCAUUGUGCUGUGGGGAGAGGGGAACUGUGCUGCUCUGCCUUAAAGGACCUGGUGGGGAGGAGACCUGGAGCAUCGGCCACGCACCAGCCGUGGGACUCUGUCCUGCAUCUGGGCCAGCUGCUGCCUCAAUUCUUCGAGCUCUAUCUUCAUCUCAACUUCCUCCGAGAACCCAGCUGGGGGCUGCAGGGCUGGGGGCACUGCUGAGAAGGGAAGUAGUAGUAAAGCUCUGGGCCUCUCAGUGCUCAGCCCUCAGUUCAGGCUCCUUGCCCCAAACCUUGGCUUCUUCAUGAAUGACUUCUCCUGCCCAGUGGAGGCCGGUCUUGAAAAAGCGCUUUCCCCUACCGUUCUUGUGUGGGGUUGGCAGUGGGCACAGCACCCUUCUCUCCUCUGGGGACCCAGAGGCUCAGAUAGAUGACAGGAUUGCUGGCUCCUGGCACAGAGCCCUUUCUGUUUGGCCCAGUGCCCUUGAAUGCACCUCACUCCUUGGGUCAGUGUAAGCCACACCCCAGCCAGGGUUCAGAUCCAACUCCCAGGUCACACUUGUCCUCAGUCACUCCAUUCUUGUUGGAGUUCCAUCAAGCCCUGCUCCAGCUCCUCCAUUUUCAUGCCAUGCUCUUCUGUGGCCUCGUUCAGUGCCCUCAGCUGCCGAAGGCACUGGGCCCAGUCAUCAGGGGGGGACUGCUGACCUCAGGCCCAUCCAUCCCCCAAGUGUCCGUCCCCUCUCCCCACUUCUGGGGUGCAGUGCAGUGUGCUGCACCUCGUUCAUCACCCUUUGCUGCUCAGUGACAAACUUCCUAGGGGUGGAGACACAGGGUCAGGGUGCAGGUAGCUGCAUGGGGAAGAGGCUCAGGGGCCCUGCCCUACCCUGACCCCUCAGCCUAGCGACUGCUGCCCCACGAGCAGACACUCCCUUGUUCUCCUGGAGGAGCCUGCGCCCCCUGGCAGCAUCCUGGCUCUGUUCAGAGAGGAAGAUAGGAGCGGGGAUUCCACUUCCAGGAAGACUCCCCCAGGGGCGGCCUGAGCCCAGCUCCCUGCCAAGCCUCCACCUCCCAGACCUCACACCCUGGGGUCUGUCAGAGAGCCUGAGCGUAAGUGGCUCUUCUCACCGGCCUGGCUUGCCUUGAGGCUGAGCAAAAUCCAAUACCAGCUACCAUUUACUGAAUGCUUGCUCUGUGCGGGGCCCGAGGAGAUGACACAAAAUGGCGUCAGUUCAACACCAGGAGUGUGCGUCUGAUCCCCCCUCGUAUUUAAUGGCACAGCUGCUGAUGCGACCCAGGGCUUGGUAUAAGCUUGUCCCAUACCCGACCGCUGAGCUGUAACAGAUCUGGCCCUCAAAUGCAGAUUUCUUACCCUGCACCUGACCGUUCUCACGCGAUCCCUGACCCUCUACUGCCAUUGAAGCCCCAUCCCCAGCAGCCCAGGCAGUGGUGACUCACCUUGUCAGGUGGGUGACAGGCUCCUCCAGUGGAUGUACCUGUUUACCAAGCCCAUUGUGGAAUGCUUUGCCUGCUUGUCUCUUGUCAGAGCUUUUCUACUGCACACAACAGAAGCAGUAAUGCAGAUGAACAUGUUGAGCCCCAGCCAGCAAUGCCCACAUGCCAGUCCUUGGAGGCCAUCCUCCUUGAGCUCACGGUUGUGCAGGAGUGAUCCAUUUGUGGUGUUACGCUUGCUCUGCGUGGGAUGCAGGAUGCUGUUGUUCUCUCCCUUCUUGGCCCACAACACAACCUUGAGGUCCAGCUUGUGCAGCCGCUCCUCCUGCCCCCCAGCUUUCUCAGACACAGCCUGGAGCUUGCUUUCUCUGGGCACUGAGCUGCACAGAAACAAGCUCCAGCUGCCUCUUAGUUGUUGGCACUUGCACUACAACCAUGUUUUAUCCUCCAAGUUCCUGGCUUUUAGAUCUACCUUGGUUUCAUGACCAAAGAUUUCUCCUUCCCAGAUGAUGGCCAGUAUUGAAGCCAGUUUCUCCUAGGGUUCCCAUGUGGGGUUGGCAGUGGGCACAGGUUCACAGUGCUUCUUUCCACAGCUAA